Molecule: transfer RNA, 64 nt
Filed under: Cryptocephalus tibialis
Lineage: Eukaryota; Metazoa; Arthropoda; Insecta; Coleoptera; Chrysomelidae
Description: tRNA-Trp
Rfam family: tRNA
About the family: Transfer RNA (tRNA) molecules are approximately 80 nucleotides in length. Their secondary structure includes four short double-helical elements and three loops (D, anti-codon, and T loops).
Source: RNAcentral
AAGGAUUUAAGUUAAUUAAACUGUUAGUCUUCAAAGCUGAAAAUAGAAGUUUUUCUAAGCCUUA